UACGUAGGGUGCAAGCGUUGUCCGGAAUUAUUGGGCGUAAAGAGCUCGUAGGCGGCUUGUUGCGUCGACUGUGAAAACCCGCGGCUUAACUGCGGGCUUGCAGUUGAUACGGGCAGGCUAGAGUUCGGUAGGGGAGACUGGAAUUCCUGGUGUAGCGGUGAAAUGCGCAGAUAUCAGGAGGAACACCGGUGGCGAAGGCGGGUCUCUGGGCCGAUACUGACGCUGAGGAGCGAAAGCGUGGGGAGCGAACAGG
Molecule: ribosomal RNA, 253 nt
Filed under: uncultured bacterium
Lineage: Bacteria
Description: partial 16S ribosomal RNA
Rfam family: Bacterial small subunit ribosomal RNA
Source: RNAcentral